AGUAACGCGUGGGUAACCUGCCUUAUACAGGGGGAUAACAGUCAGAAAUGGCUGCUAAUACCGCGUAAGCGCACAGAGCUGCAUGGCUCAGUGUGAAAAACUCCGGUGGUAUAAGAUGGACCCGCGUUGGAUUAGCUGGUUGGUGGGGUAACGGCCCACCAAGGCGACGAUCCAUAGCCGGCCUGAGAGGGUGAACGGCCACAUUGGGACUGAGACACGGCCCAG
RNAcentral lists this ribosomal RNA (225 nucleotides) under uncultured bacterium. Its description in RNAcentral is "partial 16S ribosomal RNA". It matches the Rfam family "Bacterial small subunit ribosomal RNA", at positions 109 to 334 of the family's 1533-position model. The record is from RNAcentral.